UAGAUUUUGUAUGACUGGCGGAAAUGGGAGCUUACCCAUAGGGAGUACAAAAAUAUGAUAUGCCGACCGCCUGGGCAGCUCUG
Anaerocolumna jejuensis DSM 15929 is the source of this 83-nucleotide regulatory RNA element. It matches the Rfam family "ZMP/ZTP riboswitch aptamer (pfl RNA motif)". From Rfam's summary of the family: Previously known as pfl RNA. ZMP is also known as AICAR. The record is from Rfam. NCBI's taxonomy places the organism in Bacteria, Bacillati, Bacillota, Clostridia, Lachnospirales, Lachnospiraceae.